CUCCCCUGAUGACCUCAGUUUAGUGCCACGUGUCUGCGCCACUGAUUCACACUGAUGGGAAUGAGGGACUGAGGAG
Molecule: small nucleolar RNA, 76 nt
Organism: Alosa sapidissima (American shad)
Lineage: Eukaryota; Metazoa; Chordata; Actinopteri; Clupeiformes; Clupeidae
Product: small nucleolar RNA SNORD66
Exons: 1
Source: RefSeq, a predicted model, not a curated record